RNAcentral lists this ribosomal RNA (497 nucleotides) under uncultured bacterium. RNAcentral describes it as "partial 16S ribosomal RNA". It matches the Rfam family "Bacterial small subunit ribosomal RNA", at positions 28 to 507 of the family's 1533-position model. The record is from RNAcentral.
GAUGAACGCUGGCGGCGUGCCUAAUACAUGCAAGUCGAGCGAACAGACGAUGAGCUUGCUGCGCUGACGUUAGCGGCGGACGGGUGAGUAACACGUGGAUAACCUACCUAUAAGACUGGGAUAACCUCGGGAAACCGGAGCUAAUACCGGAUAAUAUACUGAACCGUAUGGGUCAAUAGUGAAAGACGGCUUUGCGGUCACUUAUAGAUGGAUCCGCGCCGCAUUAGGUAGUUGGUAAGGUAACGGCUUAUCAAGGGAACGAGGCGUAGCCGACCUGAGAGGGUGAUAGGCCACACUGGAACUGAGACACGGUCCAUACUCCUACGAGAGGCAGCAGUAUGGAAUCUUACGCAGUGGGCGAAAGCUUGACGGAGCAACGCCGCGUGUGUUAUGAAGGUCUUCCGUGCGUGAAGCUCUGUUUUGAGUUAUGAACAGAUUUGUAAUUAGCUAUGCCCUUAGUGACGGUACCGAGUCAGGAAGCAACGGCUAACUACGUG